RNAcentral lists this ribosomal RNA (253 nucleotides) under uncultured bacterium. RNAcentral describes it as "partial 16S ribosomal RNA". It matches the Rfam family "Bacterial small subunit ribosomal RNA", at positions 524 to 776 of the family's 1533-position model. The record is from RNAcentral.
UACGUAGGUGGCGAGCGUUGUCCGGAUUUACUGGGCGUAAAGAGCGCGCAGGCGGUCGUACAAGUCGCGUGUGAAAGCCCCCGGCUCAACUGGGGAGGGUCACGCGAUACUGUUCGACUCGAAGGCAGGAGAGGGAAGUGGAAUUCCCGGUGUAGUGGUGAAAUGCGUAGAUAUCGGGAGGAACACCAGUGGCGAAGGCGACUUCCUGGCCUGUUCUUGACGCUGAGGAGCGAAAGCGUGGGGAGCGAACAGG